Molecule: ribosomal RNA, 518 nt
Filed under: Paracoccus sp. S2.CEL.004
Lineage: Bacteria; Pseudomonadati; Pseudomonadota; Alphaproteobacteria; Rhodobacterales; Paracoccaceae
Description: bacterial SSU rRNA
Rfam family: Bacterial small subunit ribosomal RNA
Source: RNAcentral
GGCUCAGAACGAACGCUGGCGGCAGGCCUAACACAUGCAAGUCGAGCGAGGACUUCGGUUCUAGCGGCGGACGGGUGAGUAACGCGUCGGGAAUGUGCCCUUCUCUACGGAAUAGCCCUGGGAAACUGGGAGUAAUACCGUAUACGCCCUUUUGGGGAAAGAUUUAUCGGAGAAGGAUCAGCCCGCGUUGGAUUAGGUAGUUGGUGGGGUAAUGGCCUACCAAGCCGACGAUCCAUAGCUGGUUUGAGAGGAUGAUCAGCCACACUGGGACUGAGACACGGCCCAGACUCCUACGGGAGGCAGCAGUGGGGAAUCUUAGACAAUGGGGGCAACCCUGAUCUAGCCAUGCCGCGUGAGUGAUGAAGGCCUUAGGGUUGUAAAGCUCUUUCAGCUGGGAAGAUAAUGACGGUACCAGCAGAAGAAGCCCCGGCUAACUCCGUGCCAGCAGCCGCGGUAAUACGGAGGGGGCUAGCGUUGUUCGGAAUUACUGGGCGUAAAGCGCACGUAGGCGGACCGGA